CCUACGGGAGGCAGCAGUAAGGAAUAUUGGUCAAUGGACGAAAGUCUGAACCAGCCAUGCCGCGUGAAGGAUGAAGGCCCUCUGGGUUGUAAACUUCUUUUAUCUGGGACGAAAAAAGGGUAUUCUUACUCACUUGACGGUACCAGAGGAAUAAGCACCGGCUAACUCCGUGCCAGCAGCCGCGGUAAUACGAAGGGUGCAAGCGUUAUCCGGAUUCACUGGGUUUAAAGGGAGCGUAGGUGGGCUGAUAAGUCAGUGGUGAAAUCUCCGGGCUUAACCCGGAAACUGCCAUUGAUACUAUUAGUCUUGAAUUAUCUGGAGGUAAGCGGAAUAUGUCAUGUAGCGGUGAAAUGCUUAGAUAUGACAUAGAACACCAAUUGCGAAGGCAGCUUGCUACGGAUUGAUUGACACUGAGGCUCGAAAGCGUGGGGAUCAAACAGGAUUAGAUACCCUGGUAGUCCACGCCCUAAACGAUGGAUACUCGACAUCAGCGAUACACUGUUGGUGUCUGNGNGAAGANAUAUAUCCACCNGAGACGACGCGAGUAGAACGACGAAGAAGUAGACGCGUGAGACGNGACGACGGACGACGACGAGGGAGGAGG
Molecule: ribosomal RNA, 604 nt
Filed under: uncultured bacterium
Lineage: Bacteria
Description: bacterial SSU rRNA
Rfam family: Bacterial small subunit ribosomal RNA (bases 1-531)
Source: RNAcentral